Salvia splendens (bonfire salvia) is the source of this 155-nucleotide small nucleolar RNA. RefSeq annotates it as small nucleolar RNA snoR135. The transcript has a single exon. The record is from RefSeq and is a predicted model, not a curated record. NCBI's taxonomy places the organism in Eukaryota, Viridiplantae, Streptophyta, Magnoliopsida, Lamiales, Lamiaceae.
AAAGCAGAGGUUGUGUGUAUCGACAUUGUGCGAAUUUGAUUCAAAUUGCACUCUGAUUGAAAGUAUUCUCUGCAAAAUCAAAAUCACUAGGCGAAGAUGGGCAGUUGUCUUUCAAUUUUUUAGUUGAUCUGUCAACAAUCAUCUUCCCCACACUU